UGGUGGAGUGAUUUGUUUGGUUGAUUCCGUGAACGAACGAGAUCUCAGCCUCUAAAUAGGGGCCGGGUCGACUGCGGUGGAUGGCGCGGGCUUCGGCCAUGCGCUCCGCCUGACGCCGGCUGCCUUCUUCGAACAUCGUGCGUGUUUAGCACGAUGGAGCGAGCCAAUAGCA
Molecule: ribosomal RNA, 172 nt
Filed under: uncultured eukaryote
Lineage: Eukaryota
Description: partial 18S ribosomal RNA
Source: RNAcentral